CCUACGGGUGGCAGCAGUGGGGAAUAUUUCGCAAUGGGCGAAAGCCUGACGCUGCGACGCCGCGUGAGGGAUGGAGGUCUUCGGAUCGUAAAACUCUGUCAGCAGGGAAGAAAGGUCACUGUGCUAAUCAGCAGUGAAUAGACGGUACCUGCACAGGAAGCACCGGCUAACUCCGUGCCAGCAGCCGCGGUAAUACGGAGGGUUCGAGCGUUAAUCGGAAUUACUGGGCGUAAAGCGCUCGUAGGCGGUAUGUCAAGUCAAGGGUGAAAUCCCCGCGCUCAACGUGGGAACGGCCGUUGAAACUGGGAGACUGGAGUGUGUGAGAGGAUAGUGGAAUUCCAGGUGUAGGAGUGAAAUCCGUAGAUAUCGGGAGGAACAUCAGUGGCGAAGGCGACUAUCUGGCACAUAACUGACGCUGAGGAGCGAAAGCGUGGGGAGCAAACAGGAUUAGAUACCCCAGUAGUC
Molecule: ribosomal RNA, 465 nt
Filed under: uncultured bacterium
Lineage: Bacteria
Description: partial 16S ribosomal RNA
Rfam family: Bacterial small subunit ribosomal RNA
Source: RNAcentral